RNAcentral lists this ribosomal RNA (449 nucleotides) under Streptococcus sp. oral taxon C08. RNAcentral describes it as "bacterial SSU rRNA". It matches the Rfam family "Bacterial small subunit ribosomal RNA", at positions 28 to 464 of the family's 1533-position model. The record is from RNAcentral. Lineage: Bacteria; Bacillati; Bacillota; Bacilli; Lactobacillales; Streptococcaceae.
GACGAACGCUGGCGGCGUGCCUAAUACAUGCAAGUAGAACGCUGAAGCUUGGUGCUUGCACCGAGCGGAUGAGUUGCGAACGGGUGAGUAACGCGUAGGUAACCUGCCUGGUAGCGGGGGAUAACUAUUGGAAACGAUAGCUAAUACCGCAUAAGAGUAGAUGUUGCAUGACAUUUGCUUAAAAGGUGCAAUUGCAUCACUACCAGAUGGACCUGCGUUGUAUUAGCUAGUUGGUGAGGUAACGGCUCACCAAGGCGACGAUACAUAGCCGACCUGAGAGGGUGAUCGGCCACACUGGGACUGAGACACGGCCCAGACUCCUACGGGAGGCAGCAGUAGGGAAUCUUCGGCAAUGGACGGAAGUCUGACCGAGCAACGCCGCGUGAGUGAAGAAGGUUUUCGGAUCGUAAAGCUCUGUUGUAAGAGAAGAACGAGUGUGAGAGUGGAAA